Molecule: non-coding RNA, 84 nt
Organism: Phaseolus vulgaris (common bean)
Lineage: Eukaryota; Viridiplantae; Streptophyta; Magnoliopsida; Fabales; Fabaceae
Source: Rfam
AGAGUAGAUGUGAGCCGGGAUGGCUUGCCGGCAUGUGCUCUCUGUGGGUAUUGCUGGAAAGUCAUUCUGGCUCAUGUUUCCUUC